UGAUACGUAGGGUGCGAGCGUUGUCCGGAUUUAUUGGGCGUAAAGAGCUUGUAGGCGGUUUGUCACGUCGGAAGUGAAAACUUGGGGCUCAACCCCAAGCCUGCUUUCGAUACGGGCUGACUUGAGGAAGGUAGGGGAGAAUGGAAUUCCCGGUGGAGCGGUGGAAUGCGCAGAUAUCGGGAGGAACACCAGUGGCGAAGGCGGUUCUCUGGACCUUUCCUGACGCUGAGAAGCGAAAGCGUGGGGAGCAAACAGG
RNAcentral lists this ribosomal RNA (256 nucleotides) under uncultured bacterium. Its description in RNAcentral is "partial 16S ribosomal RNA". It matches the Rfam family "Bacterial small subunit ribosomal RNA", at positions 521 to 776 of the family's 1533-position model. The record is from RNAcentral.